AUUUGGUAAAAUAGAAAUUUAUAAUUUGUUCUAUUCUAUUAAAAAAUAUAAGGAAAACUUCAAAUACCCAUCUUAUUAUUUCACUCUUUCUCAUUUUAGUACCCUGUGGUGUAAAGUGUAUCAUAUUAGUACCCUGUAGUUUCGCACUUUCUCACUUUAGUACCCUGUGAUUUCAAGUAUAUCAAGUUAGUACCCUGUGAUUUCGCACUUUCUCACUUUAGUACCCUGUGGUUUAAUAUUUCAUUAAGAGAAAAAUAAAACCACAGGGUACUAAUUUGAUACAAAAAUAAAACCACAGAGUACUAACUUGAUACACUUUAAACCACAGGGUACUAAAAUGAGAAAGUGCGAAACCACAGGAUACUAACUUGAUACACUUUAAACUGCAGAGUACUAAAAUAAAAAAGUGCGAAACCACAGGGGGGUUUUUAAAGUUUUCCCUAACUAAAAAGAUAUCAAAGAGCAAAGUAUUAAACUCUAUACUAAAGUUGAAACCAAAUGUCGUUCCUCCGUCGAGCCACAUGGUGGAUUUUCUCUCUCACCCUAACAUGUUCUCUCUCUCACAUGGACCCACAUGGGCUAUGUUCAAGUGGCUUGCAUGGACUCACAUGGGCUAUGAGUAGAAAGAGUUGGGGAGAAGAUGUAUGCAUUGUAAUAAUAAGAAAGAUAGCAAAAGUACAAAAAAUAUUCUAUGUACUAUACAAUUUUUUGUUUCAUGAAUCCUGUGUAUGAUGUUAAACAAUAUUGCUAUAUAUAGAGAAAGUUAAGAAAAAAAAGCAAGAGGGUAAGGAAUAUGCUGUGUAGUAUGAAAAAUUUUGUAAAAGAAAAGUUUAUGUUGUGCGUGAAAUACUAUUUUUAUUGGAGUUAGCAAAGUAAAAGACAAUUUACAAAUAAUUCAUAGUGUAAUUGAAAUCAAACAGGAGAUUUAGAAUAAUCAUAUUGCAAAGGAAUUUAACAGUGCGGCCACUUCUGAAAAUCAACUUAUUAUACUUGUUAAAAAUAGUGCUCAAGUGGAAAAUACUAUUGGCGAAUAUAGUCCUAUCGAAAGCCAAUCAAGGUAUGAUUAAUAAACAAGUUAAGAACUGAUUAUAAAUUAAUAUUCUGUCUGUGGGAAAAAAAAA
RNAcentral lists this long non-coding RNA (1121 nucleotides) under Ananas comosus (pineapple). RNAcentral describes it as "long non-coding RNA (ACOM_LNC030863)". The record is from RNAcentral. Lineage: Eukaryota; Viridiplantae; Streptophyta; Magnoliopsida; Poales; Bromeliaceae.